GCCGGAAUAGCUCAAUUGGUAGAGCAACUGACUUGUAAUCAGUAGGUUACGGGUUCGAUUCCUGUUUCCGGCACCA
This 76-nucleotide transfer RNA is filed under the name Mollicutes bacterium. Its description in RNAcentral is "tRNA-Thr". It matches the Rfam family "tRNA". From Rfam's summary of the family: Transfer RNA (tRNA) molecules are approximately 80 nucleotides in length. Their secondary structure includes four short double-helical elements and three loops (D, anti-codon, and T loops). Further hydrogen bonds mediate the characteristic L-shaped molecular structure. tRNAs have two regions of fundamental functional importance: the anti-codon, which is responsible for specific mRNA codon recognition, and the 3' end, to which the tRNAs corresponding amino acid is attached (by aminoacyl-tRNA synthetases). tRNAs cope with the degeneracy of the genetic code in two manners: having more than one tRNA (with a specific anti-codon) for a particular amino acid; and 'wobble' base-pairing, i.e. permitting non-standard base-pairing at the 3rd anti-codon position. RNAcentral also lists the same sequence under 1 other name. Lineage: Bacteria; Bacillati; Mycoplasmatota; Mollicutes. The record is from RNAcentral.